ACGUAGGGUGCGAGCGUUAAUCGGAAUUACUGGGCGUAAAGCGUGCGCAGGCGGUCCGUUGUGUCCGAUGUGAAAGCCCCGGGCUUAACCUGGGAAUGGCAUUGGAAACUGGCGAGCUUGAGUGCGGCAGGGGGGGGUGGAAUUCCGCGUGUAGCAGUGAAAUGCGUAGAGAUGCGGAGGAACACCGAUGGCGAAGGCAGCCCCCUGGGCUGAGAUUGACGCUCAGGCACGAAAGCGUGGGGAGCAAACAGGA
This 253-nucleotide ribosomal RNA is filed under the name uncultured prokaryote. Its description in RNAcentral is "partial 16S ribosomal RNA". It matches the Rfam family "Bacterial small subunit ribosomal RNA", at positions 525 to 777 of the family's 1533-position model. The record is from RNAcentral.